GCUGGCAGCUAGCUCUCUGCAACUCUCACAUGGUCGCCCACUGAAGCUAAGCAGGGCUGCGCCCGAUCAGAACCUGGAUGGGAGACUACAUGGAAAACCUAGGUUGCUGCCGGAA
Molecule: ribosomal RNA, 115 nt
Filed under: Danio rerio (zebrafish)
Lineage: Eukaryota; Metazoa; Chordata; Actinopteri; Cypriniformes; Danionidae
Source: RNAcentral